Molecule: ribosomal RNA, 253 nt
Filed under: uncultured bacterium
Lineage: Bacteria
Description: partial 16S ribosomal RNA
Rfam family: Bacterial small subunit ribosomal RNA
Source: RNAcentral
CACGUAGGGCGCAAGCGUUGUUCGGAUUUACUGGGCGUAAAGAGCGCGCAGGCGGUCGGAUAAGUCGAAUGUGAAAGCCCCCGGCUCAACUGGGGAGGGUCAUUCGAUACUGUUCGACUCGAAGGCAGGUGAGGGAAGUGGAAUUCCCGGUGUAGUGGUGAAAUGCGUAGAUAUCGGGAGGAACACCAGUGGCGAAGGCGACUUCCUGGCCUGUUCUUGACGCUGAGGCGCGAAAGCUAGGGGAGCAAACGGG